Molecule: ribosomal RNA, 509 nt
Filed under: uncultured bacterium
Lineage: Bacteria
Description: bacterial SSU rRNA
Rfam family: Bacterial small subunit ribosomal RNA
Source: RNAcentral
GACGAACGCUGGCGGCGUGCCUAACACAUGCAAGUCGAGCGGGGUUGAAGCGAGGGGUAACUCGGACUUCUACCUAGCGGCGGACGGGUGAGUAACGCGUGGGCAACCUGCCUCAAGGUUUGGGAUAACAGCUCGAAAGGGCUGCUAAUACCGGAUAUGCCUGUGGCCUCGCAUGGGGCUAUGAGCAAAGGGGAAACCCGCCUUGAGAUGGGCCCGCGUCCCAUCAGCUAGUUGGUGAGGUGAAGGCUCACCAAGGCGACGACGGGUAGCCGGCCUGAGAGGGUGACCGGCCACACUGGGACUGAGACACGGCCCAGACUCCUACGGGGGGCAGCAGUGGGGGAUCUUGCACAAUGGGCGAAAGCCUGAUGCAGCGACGCCGCGUGAGCGAAGAAGGCCUUCGGGUUGUAAAGCUCUGUCUGGAGGGACGGAAACGAAAAUAGACGGUACCGUCCGGAGGAAGCCGACGGCUAACUACGUGCCAGCAGCCGCGGUAAUACGUUAGCGUG